Myotis brandtii (Brandt's bat) is the source of this 146-nucleotide long non-coding RNA. RefSeq lists it as uncharacterized. Lineage: Eukaryota; Metazoa; Chordata; Mammalia; Chiroptera; Vespertilionidae. The record is from RefSeq and is a predicted model, not a curated record. The transcript is spliced from 3 exons.
UAAGAUAUGUGCAGUGUGCAUAGGGAUUUGUUCAUAGUUUUUUUUUAAACUAUAGUCCGGCCCUCCAAUGGUUUGAAGGACAGUGAAUUGGCCCCCUGUUUUAAAAGUUUGAGGACCCCUGGUGUGAGGGAUGAUGCUAUAACCAA